Molecule: non-coding RNA, 1012 nt
Organism: Nicotiana tabacum (common tobacco)
Lineage: Eukaryota; Viridiplantae; Streptophyta; Magnoliopsida; Solanales; Solanaceae
Source: RefSeq, a predicted model, not a curated record
AUGGAUUUCACUUCAUAUCUUUCUAUCGGUAAGAAGUUCAAAAUGUCGCGUAUGUAGAAGAGCAGUGCAAGAGCAGUAGAAUGGAUAAUUGAUGUGGGAUCAUUUCACUUUCAACAAUACAACACUAACUGAUAGCUUGAAUUUAAAAAACUUUCAGUAAUUUUGUAACCAUGCACUCAUGUUUCUUAAUACAAAAAGUAAUUAAGCAUAGAACCUUAGAUAUCUGUUUUCAAACUAUGGAACCUCUCAUCAAAAGUUUGAAAGGAAUCAGACAAAUAAAUUGUUCUUCAAAUAUAAGACAUUGUAUAUGAAUUCUCAAAAAAUAUAAAACUUAAGGACAUCGAUUACAGGGUGCAAUGUAAACUUUACUGCUACCUGAAUAUAAAUAGCAUAUCAAUUAUACUAAUUGUAGAGUAAAAAAAUAUAGAUAUUGACUUGAUAAGGAUUCUUCUUAAUUGACCAUAUAUCUCUUUUUAGUAGAAAAAAAAUUAGAUAAUUUUGAUUAUUUCCUGCUCAUCUAAAUCUCAUCAUUUUUCCUGCUUUGUCCCAAAAACUUUCGAGAACAUUCAAUGCCUCAUUCGUUAAGCAUUCUGAAAGGUGAAGCGAAGAGUCAAGGGACUGCCUCAUUAGCGAGAAAGCACCAGUCACUAGAGAAUUAACGCUCAUUCAAAUAACUUUAGCAUUUGGAUCCUUUCUAAGACCCGCAAUCUAAAGAGAUUGAAGAAUAGUUAGUCCCAAGCUAUAACCAUUUCCCUGGAAGGCCAUAUGAUGUCGAAGAUCUGUGCAAAAAAUAAGGAAUUAAUAAAGGUUGGUGAUAAAAAUUCAAGAACGACCGUCUCUAUAUCAAUGAGCUUGAAAUACAUUAAAUUCAAACUUUUAAAUUCAUUGCUUGAACUACAAACUUUUUCUGGCCGAUACCUGAUAUUCGCCGAAUUUUUUUAAUACGUUAACCAAUCUGAGAUGUACACAUUAUUGAUUAUAAGUAUCAAUAAAACCUUCAAUGAUAGGUAAA